This is a long non-coding RNA of Drosophila miranda, 158 nucleotides long. RefSeq lists it as uncharacterized. NCBI's taxonomy places the organism in Eukaryota, Metazoa, Arthropoda, Insecta, Diptera, Drosophilidae. The transcript has 2 exons. The record is from RefSeq and is a predicted model, not a curated record.
CUUCUUCCACUAAUCUGUGAGAUGCCCCUACUGGACCUUCUCCCAUCACCUCAGGAGCCAAUGAGAAUACCCGCCAAAAGUCUACCCCCAAAAGAAUAUCGACGAGCCUCCACGCCCAGCUUCUCCAGGAAUUCCUGACCAUUACACCCUAGCAUGCU